Molecule: long non-coding RNA, 469 nt
Organism: Salvia miltiorrhiza (redroot sage)
Lineage: Eukaryota; Viridiplantae; Streptophyta; Magnoliopsida; Lamiales; Lamiaceae
Exons: 3
Source: RefSeq, a predicted model, not a curated record
CGAGGAGUAUUAUAGUUCAAUGACAGAUCCAAUACGAGGCAAAAGAGGUAUAAUUGUAGCCCACAAUAUGGCUCGAGCAUGCAAAAUACUAUUCUACGGUACCGAGCUUGUUACCUUUUUACCGCGUGCGCAAGGUGCUGCUGCUGCACUUCCUCAUUGCUUGAUCGCUGUCCGUCACAAGCCGCCGCAUGUUCAGGCAUCACACACCGUCUGCAUUUGCGGCCGUUGCACUUGACUGAUGCCGACCUUGCGAAUUAGGGCUGCUGUAAACCGAAUAGUUAACUUGAUAGAAUGGACCAUUGCUUCCGGUGAUGAUGAAGAUUGUAUCAAGAUUGCCAAGUCAAUAGCCCCUUCCAUCUAUGGCCACGAGGACACUGCAAUAGCUCUUGCCAUGUUUGGUGGCAAGAGAAGAAUGUUGAAGGAAAUCAUCGUCCAUGAGGAGAUAUAAAUGUACCCCUGCUCAGUGAUC